Phrynosoma platyrhinos (Desert horned lizard) is the source of this 72-nucleotide non-coding RNA. Lineage: Eukaryota; Metazoa; Chordata; Lepidosauria; Squamata; Phrynosomatidae. The record is from the annotation of a GenBank genome assembly.
GUCAAUGUGGGGUAGUGGUUUCAGUGUUGGACUACAACUCCAGAGACCAGGGUUCGAUUCCCAGCUUGGCCA